Molecule: long non-coding RNA, 1093 nt
Organism: Mirounga angustirostris (Northern elephant seal)
Lineage: Eukaryota; Metazoa; Chordata; Mammalia; Carnivora; Phocidae
Exons: 4
Source: RefSeq, a predicted model, not a curated record
GGCGAGGCUAGGGCUCGGGGGCGGGGUCCCCGAGGGUGGCCGGCUGUGUGGGGGCGAUGCGGGCCUGCAGCGGGCGGGGCCGGGCGUGCCAGGAGCCCCGGGCGGGGGGCGGCGUGAGCCCUUCCCGGGCUGUUGGUGCCGGGGGCGCCGCGAGUCCUGCGAGAAGGUGCGGAGCGUCCCGCGGUGGAGCGGCUUCGGCUGUGCGCGGCCGGGGCUGGCCUGGAGUUGUCCCCGCCACACUGGCGAGCGAUGCAGCCUUGCAAGGGAGUCCUAUCUACAGUCUGCCGUGGUGCUGAAAGCCAGCGAUGAAGGGUGAUUCGUGUGGAAGAACGGGAAGACCAUGAGCAUGGAGGCAGAUGGCCCAUCUGUGCGUGCUGUCGCUGCUGUGGAUUUAGGUACCAUCUGUACCAGAGGCACAUGAAUCUGGUUAAAACUGCUCAUGAGACUGAACUUUGGAAGGCCUAUGCAGAAGGAAAUCACUGGAGGAAAGACUAGAUGUGAAAAUGAGGUGAAACCAGUCCGAGGCUCUGUGCUUCUGUUAACUCCAGCUUGCCCUGCAGUUGGACGCUGGCUUGCUGUUUUCUCUCCUGCCAAAGGGAUGUUCUAUCCAUUAUUGAAGUGGAAUAUUGAAGUCUUCAGCUGUUAAUGUAGAGGUAUUUUCCCUCCAAUUCUUUUAUUUAUUUAUUUAUUUAUUUAUUUAUUUAUUUAUUUAUUUGACAGAGAGACACAGUGAGAGAGGGAACACCAGCAGGGGGAGGGGGAGAGGGAGAAGCAGGUUCCCCGCAGAGCAGGGAGCCCGAUGUGGGACUUGAUCCCAGGACCCUGGGAUCAUGACCUGAGCCGAAGGCAGUCGCUUAACCGACUGAGCCACCCAGGCGCCCUUCCCUCCAAUUCUAUCAAUGUUUAUGUAUGUUUUUGGGUUCCACCUGUUUAGUGCGUACGUGUUUAUAACUAUUAUAUCUUCUUGAUGAAUUGACCCUUUUAUCAAUAUGUAAUGCCAUUUUUUCUUUCUUGUAACAAUUUUUUUAAAAGAUUUUAUUUAUUUAUCUGAGAGAGAGAGAGCAAGCAAGCAUGGGUGCACGAGCAGGGGAAG